GGACGGGCCCCGCACAAGCAGCGGAGCGUGUGGUUUAAUUCGAUGCUACACGAAGAACCUUACCAGGGUUUGACAUGCUAGUGGUAGGAAACCGAAAGGUGACCGACCCUUCGGGGAGCUUGCACAGGUGCUGCAUGGCUGUCGUCAGCUCGUGUCGUGAGAUGUUCGGUUAAGUCCGCUAACGAGCGCAACCCUCGCUGUGUGUUAUAUGUGUCACACGGGACUGCCGGUCUUAAGCCGGAGGAAGGUGGGGAUGAUGUCAAGUCAGCAUGGCCUUUAUAUCCUGGGCUACACACACGCUACAAUGGCCAACACAAUAGGUUGCUAAGCCGCGAGGUGGCGCCAAUCCAUAAAGUUGGUCUCAGUUCAGAUUGUAGGCUGCAACCCGCCUGCAUGAAGAUGGAGUUGCUAGUAACCGCAGGUCAGCUAUACUGCGGUGAAUACGUUCCCGGGGCUU
RNAcentral lists this ribosomal RNA (457 nucleotides) under uncultured Leptolinea sp. Its description in RNAcentral is "bacterial SSU rRNA". It matches the Rfam family "Bacterial small subunit ribosomal RNA", at positions 916 to 1381 of the family's 1533-position model. The record is from RNAcentral. Lineage: Bacteria; Bacillati; Chloroflexota; Anaerolineae; Anaerolineales; Anaerolineaceae.